UCUUCUCGAAGGGUAUAGCAACAAUUAAAUCUUAUCACUCACAAAAGCACGCAAUGGCCAAGACAUUGUCCAUACGCAACGUUGACUGCCUCGGAUCAACAGUUGAGAACCAAGCAUAUGGCGGCUGUUUCAAGGACAUUCGAAAGGCUCUGCAUCCCUAAUGGAAUCCAUAACCGAUAGGAAUUUUAAUAUCAGACACGUGUCAAUGGGAGACAUGAGUGUUUCCUGCGUGACAGACACCAGUGGGCACACAAAUAGACACACACUCUUACACAGAUCGACGUUCAUUUCGCUCAUCUAUUUGUCAAAUACUCAUGAUUUUCCAUCCCAUUUCCCUUUGACGUUUCAAGAGGCAUUUUCAAUUCCUGUUUGCAUACAGGAAAAUGGUUGGAGGCACAGCUGUUGUUGACCACUUCCGUUGAGGGUGUCGCCAAGGGGGGUGGCUGGGCUUACGUCCAGGUUGACACUCCUGCCACCACGCCCACAUUCCACCACGCAAAAGCGGAAAUGUUCUCCCUGGCAGCCCCUGGCGUCUCAUGCGUCUGAGCAAUUGUUACCUUUUUCCGUGCGCCCAAGUGCGUUGAACUUGGCCCAUUUUAUGGCAUAAGUUUGAGUGAAAAUUCAGCAAUUGAGGCAACUCAGAAAUUUGUUUUCGCCAUUGGGGGACACGUCUGCGCCCAUUUCUCUUUCGGUGGUUGGGUGGGGCGUCGUCGUCCCUCUGGGGAGGCGUCAAACAAAGUGCGAGCGUUAAUCUUCUAGCCGCUUAUGAUGCUUAUGGCAUUUGUAGACACAGCGGGCACUGUGGAAUAUAUCCUGCUGAAUUUGCAAGCAUACAUUUUAAGGAAGAAGGCCUGCCCGAGUGUAGGUAAGAGACAAGCCUACAUCGAAUAGAAAUGGAAAAAAUAUUCACCACAUUCGAUUAAAAAUAUUCUACCGACUAGUGCGACGGUCGGAACAGCAAGGGCUUGUUGUUCAGCGAGUUAGGAAUGGCCUCAAUCAUGGCCUGGAUAUUCCGCAGAUCUCCGCAUGUAUAAAGCCGGACGGACUCCUAAAGGUUGUGCUCCACUGUCUUACAAACGUCACUCAAGCUGCUCCACUACCUCUUCCAAGGUCAGUUUUGUUGAGGUCCAGAAGAGCUUGAGCCACUAGUUGACCAUUUUCAUAGACUUAUAAGUAAAAUUGUCUGUAAAAUAAACUAAAAUAAAACAUA
Long non-coding RNA from Drosophila pseudoobscura, 1210 nucleotides. RefSeq lists it as uncharacterized. The transcript has 2 exons. NCBI's taxonomy places the organism in Eukaryota, Metazoa, Arthropoda, Insecta, Diptera, Drosophilidae. The record is from RefSeq and is a predicted model, not a curated record.